RNAcentral lists this ribosomal RNA (497 nucleotides) under uncultured bacterium. RNAcentral describes it as "partial 16S ribosomal RNA". It matches the Rfam family "Bacterial small subunit ribosomal RNA", at positions 28 to 507 of the family's 1533-position model. The record is from RNAcentral.
GAUGAACGCUGGCGGCGUGCCUAAUACAUGCAAGUCGAGCGAACAGACGAGGAGCUUGCUCCUCUGACGUUAGCGGCGGACGGGUGAGUAACACGUGGAUAACCUACCUAUAAGACUGGGAUAACUUCGGGAAACCGGAGCUAAUACCGGAUAAUAUAUUGAACCGCAUGGUUCAAUAGUGAAAGACGGCUUUGCUGUCACUUAUAGAUGGAUCUGCGCCGCAUUAGCUAGUUGGUAAGGUAACGGCUUACCAAGGCAACGAUGCGUAGCCGACCUGAGAGGGGGAUCGGCCACACUGGAACUGAGACACGGUCCAGACUCCUACGGGAGGCAGCAGUAGGGAAUCUUCCGCAAUGGGCGAAAGCCUGACGGAGCAACGCCGCGUGAGUGAUGAAGGUCUUCGGAUCGUAAAACUCUGUUAUUAGUGAAGAACAAAUGUGUAAGUAACUAUGCACGUCGUGACGGUACCUAAUCAGAAAGCCACGGCUAACUACGUG